UUGGAUUUAUCGCUGGAGGAUGUUGGGAAAAGAAUUGAACUUGUCUACACUCCUGUCCGGGAGGAUAGAAUAAAAGGCAAUCCUAGGAGUAUUGUAUCUGAUGGUAUUGCUCCGGCAAAUCCUAUGGGGCUGGAGCUUGUAAUUCCUGAGUGUUGCGAGAAACAAGAGGUUGUGCCACAUAGAAUCUAUUUUGGUGGACAUGAAGGUGGUGGUGACUACAUAUGGUACAGAACUAAGAAUAAGUUGCAUGGAUCUGCACUCAUGGAAAUAUCCUUUGGGGGUGAAGAUGUUACUGUUUGUUGUAGGACAUUAAAAUAUACUCCAUCCCUUGAAGAUGUAGGGGCUUAUCUAGUCUUGUACUGGAUUCCUACUCGUUCAGAUGGAAGACAUGGGAAGCCAGUUAUAUCA
This is a long non-coding RNA of Tarenaya hassleriana, 408 nucleotides long. RefSeq lists it as uncharacterized. The record is from RefSeq and is a predicted model, not a curated record. Lineage: Eukaryota; Viridiplantae; Streptophyta; Magnoliopsida; Brassicales; Cleomaceae. The transcript has 3 exons.